Molecule: long non-coding RNA, 1475 nt
Filed under: Mus musculus (house mouse)
Lineage: Eukaryota; Metazoa; Chordata; Mammalia; Rodentia; Muridae
Description: long non-coding RNA chr9:99017150-99018625
Source: RNAcentral
UGUGUGUGUGUGUGUGUGUACACUCACUAAAUAAUUGGCCUAGGUAUGUGUUUAAAACAUUUCUUAUUUUAUCUUCUUUUCUAGAUCUCGUUCUAAAAUGGUUACUCACAUUUCUUUUAGUAUUUUUGAGAAGGCAUUUAAACUUUCACAAUAUUUACAUCUUAAUUCUAAGAUUUGUGUUCUGUGACAUUGGCAUUUAAGACAGGCCCAGUGGUUCAGUGGGUAAAGGAGUGUCCAGUGUAAGCCUGGCCUCCUUAGCUGGAACCUGGAGACAUGUAAAGGUAUCAGAAGGAAGCCAACUCCACCCCUGUCCUACACACACACACUCACACACACAUACAUAUACACACAUUCACACUCACGUACAUACAUACAUACAUACAUACAUAUAUACAUACACACACAUUCACACUCACAAACACAUUCACAUACACACAUUCACACUCACAUACAUUCACACUCACACACAUUCACACUUACACACACAUUCACACUCACUCACACACACAUACUCACGCAUAUUCACACUCACAUACAUACACACAUAUUCACACUCACACACACAUUCACACUCACCUCACUAUUCUCUCACCAGCCCCCUAAACACUCAGCUCCUUUCUGUAGAAAUCUCGUUAGUCUUUGUGCAGCGAAAGCAAAAGUUCAGAGCACUCCCACACAGCUCUGAAGGGGUGACUCUGACUGGUACAGUGGCGAUUAAAGCCUUUUAGACUCUAUGUUUCAAUGCACAUAGAGUGGACUCUGGACCAAGGGCAUGAAACGUAUUUAAUUCUCAGGACAAACUCAGAAGACAAGGUUCAAAACAACAACAGCACAGACAGCAGCACGGCGUUCCUGAGUCCAGGCUGGGGUUCUUUCUCACAAUAAAACUCUUCAUUUAUUUUGAAAUAUGUCAAGAAUUUUGGAAAGGAGAUGUUAGUUGUUUCUUGUUUUUCUUGUGCAAAAAUGUGAUAGCUUUUCAUUUUAAGCUAUGUGAGGACAUUAGAAAUACUUCAGAAGGUCACAUUAUAUUCCUAGGACUAUGGGUGGGGCUCAGGGCAGAGCUCUUUCCUAGCAAGCGUGAGGCCCAGGCUUCACUCCUAGCAUAGUGGAAAUGAACAGAUUCAAUUAUCACUGUAAAAGCCAAGUUUGUCUUCCAUAAGUGUUGUGACUUCAGCCCCGUGAGGUUUCACCCUGUUACUGUGGGGCUGCUCUCGACCAACUACAACAACUUACCAACAACUGUCAGCUGAACGGUUGUCUUGGCAACACCAGGGGCUGUUUUCACUUUGCACAGGUAGGUGCCACUGUCUGCAGGCUGAACAUCUCUUAUUUUUAUGGACGCUUCGCCAGACGUGAUACCAUUACUUGUAAAAUUCACUCGCCCUCUCAUAUCUUGAUAGAAGUCAGAAUAAAUUUUAUCUACAGCAUACAAAAUAAUCUGAAAAAAAUCCAAAAAACAGAAAUAAAAAAUAGCC